CCUUUCUUCUGUUAAAUGUUGAAGUCGAUGUCAUUAUGCAUCAUCAUCAUGUCUGGCUCAGUAUUUGAGUGUUUCUCUUCUUGAAAAAGUAUGAAAGUCAAUGAAUGAUAUUGUUAAACUAGUUUGCAGGCUUGUGCGCACAUGAAAAAAUUAUAUAUGGAACAUUCUUUCUUAAAACACCAGGGAGAUAUUUAAAAGACAAAACACAAGAUCAACAAAUAAGAUUGCAAGUCAUCAGUGCAAUUAAAUGUGAUAGCAAGUCUCACUUCUGUUCAUACUGAGUUUCUGUCUGGGUUGUCCAUCUCAUUACAUUACUAGCACUAAGUGAGGUUUUAGAAGAG
RNAcentral lists this small RNA (341 nucleotides) under Histoplasma capsulatum. RNAcentral describes it as "hypothetical RNA". The record is from RNAcentral. Lineage: Eukaryota; Fungi; Ascomycota; Eurotiomycetes; Onygenales; Ajellomycetaceae. RNAcentral also lists the same sequence under 1 other name.